CCACUCCCUCCCCCUCCCACACGCCCCACCCCCUGCAGUCCUCCCUCCCUAGGUGGAUAUAAGGAAGUCAGGGAAGAGAAGAUUUUGAGAGAAACCUGGAUAUGAUGCUGUGGAGAAACAGAAGAGAAAGAUGGACAUUCGUGUACCUCCUUGGAAGUCAAGUAGGAUAUGGGCACUGGAUGAGCGGAAGAGUGGUCCAGGAACAGAGGGAACAGGAUCAAAAGCAGAGGAGGCUAAGGAGAUUAGCUGAAAGCUAGGGAUGUUUUGCCUAGCAGGCUGUAAGCUUGUGGAAGACACACUAACCACAGAGCCUUCCGCAAGACAAUCUGCAGAAGAAACUGUUAUCAGAUUAACCACAACAAAAAUAAAAACUGUUACGGCUCAAAAUGACAGCCAUUUUACCAAAACUUGCAGCGUGCCCAUUGGAAAUUUGGGGGAGGGCUCAGCUGGGCGACUGCCCUGUUUGGUAGAGUCUUCCUUACCAUCACGCUCAUUUAGCUGCUAGGCUGGAAUGGUCUGAAGGAUCCCAGAUGGCUUUUCUCAUGUGGUUGCCUUCCUGGAAGAAAUGUUUGGAGGGCUGAGCUGAACCCCCUUCCUCUCUACAUAAUUUCAGGUGCUAUCUAGUGAUGUAAGACUCUUACAGUGAGAGUUCUAAGAAACAAGAAGUGGAGCCUUCUCAAUCCCUGGGCCUAGAGACAGUCAGCACCACGUCUAACCGCAUUUACUGGUUUUAGCAGGUAUAGAAUCUACCCACGAUCAAGGAAUUGGACCUGUACUUACUUUUCACUGGGAGCACUAUAAAAGUAUUGGAAUAAUUUUUGACUUCUAUGAGCAGUCUCAUUGGAAAUGAAUAGAGG
Molecule: long non-coding RNA, 857 nt
Filed under: Mus spicilegus (steppe mouse)
Lineage: Eukaryota; Metazoa; Chordata; Mammalia; Rodentia; Muridae
Description: lncRNA (ENSMSIG00000008554.1)
Source: RNAcentral